CUCGUCAGAGGCUAGUUUUGCAUUGCAGCCCGAGAGGAUAUGUGCGCUCUUGCUGGACGAGGGGGGAUGGAGCAACUUCAAAGCAAGGAAACAGCGAGCCAAUAGCCCGAAGCGCCAGUGAGCCGUCAUGAAGAAGAGAAGUGCGGAUUCCUGUUGACCAGCUCUGCAGGACUGUCGGGCUCAUUCCCGAGGCGUGCCCAGUGCUGAACCGGUGCUGAGGUCAGCUGUAAUGAUGUGUGUGACCAGACGCAUUAGGAAUGACAUCGCGUUACAUCGCGACAACUAUCUCACAGCUACAUAAGAAUGUGUGAUUCUUACGUUUUCACGGGCUCAAAACUACUGCAAGAUAUAGUUUAUAAAUGUCUUUGAAAUCACUUUGUUGGAUUAAAUGGUCUAUUACGAUUCUUAACAUUUAUUUUCAUUCUGUACUAUAACAUUUUGUUUCGAUUGCAGCUUUUAAAUGGAUUUUCACCGGUACCGAAUAAAGUGCAUUCACCAACUACUCCAAUA
Long non-coding RNA from Lepisosteus oculatus (spotted gar), 510 nucleotides. RefSeq lists it as uncharacterized. The record is from RefSeq and is a predicted model, not a curated record. NCBI's taxonomy places the organism in Eukaryota, Metazoa, Chordata, Actinopteri, Semionotiformes, Lepisosteidae.